This 266-nucleotide long non-coding RNA is filed under the name Lotus japonicus. Its description in RNAcentral is "long non-coding RNA (LJAP_LNC000033)". Lineage: Eukaryota; Viridiplantae; Streptophyta; Magnoliopsida; Fabales; Fabaceae. The record is from RNAcentral.
UUCUUCAUUCAUCAUAGUACUAUUUCUCUCUCUUCUUAUCUUGUUUCUCUCUCUUCUUCAUACAUACUUUUACCUCUCUUCUCGCGCAAGAACCACCACGGAGGCUCCGACCCGAAUCCGACGAAACGACUCUACUCCAGCUCCGUACACCUUCAUGCGCAUUUCCCCUACCAUUCUCGCAGAUUUUGCUCCUUCUCGUUUCCAAAUCUGUGAGUCCUCGAUUUCCUCUUCCGAUUCAUACCUCAAUCGCCAUUGUUCAAGCUCCC